GACGUAGGGGGCCAGCGUUGUUCGGAAUUACUGGGUGUAAAGGGUUCGUAGGCGGUGCGGCAAGUUGGGAGUGAAAUCUCUGGGCUUAACCCAGAGGCUGCUUCCAAAACUGCUGUGCUUGAGUGUGGGAGAGGCGCGUGGAAUUGCAGGUGUAGCGGUGAAAUUCGUAGAUAUUCGGAAGAACACCAGUGGCGAAGGCGGCUCACUGGCCCGGUACUGACGCUGAGGUGCGAAAGCGUGGGGAGCAAACAGG
This 253-nucleotide ribosomal RNA is filed under the name uncultured bacterium. Its description in RNAcentral is "partial 16S ribosomal RNA". It matches the Rfam family "Bacterial small subunit ribosomal RNA", at positions 524 to 776 of the family's 1533-position model. The record is from RNAcentral.